AAUCAACGCUGGCGGCGUGCCUCAGACAUGCAAGUCGAACGCUGCUGUUCGCCUUCGGGUGGACAGCGGAGUGGCGCACGGGUGAGUAACACGUAGGUAAUCUACCUUUGGGUGGGAAUAACAGCCGGAAACGGCUGCUAAUACCGCAUAAUGCAGCGGCAUCACAUGAUGACAGUUGUUAAAGCGAGGGAUCGUAAGACCUCGCGCCUGAAGAGGAGCCUGCGGCAGAUUAGGUAGUUGGUGAGGUAAUGGCUCACCAAGCCUGCGAUCUGUAACCGGCUGAGAGGGCGUCGGUCACACUGACACUGACAUACGGGUCAGA
Molecule: ribosomal RNA, 322 nt
Filed under: uncultured bacterium
Lineage: Bacteria
Description: bacterial SSU rRNA
Rfam family: Bacterial small subunit ribosomal RNA
Source: RNAcentral